This 822-nucleotide long non-coding RNA is filed under the name Brachypodium distachyon (stiff brome). RNAcentral describes it as "long non-coding RNA (BDIS_LNC002405)". Lineage: Eukaryota; Viridiplantae; Streptophyta; Magnoliopsida; Poales; Poaceae. The record is from RNAcentral.
UUUUGAGUUCCAAAAAGGCUUUGAAAAGAGCUUUCUCCUUUUUUAAACCUUAGUCUUUUUACCCAUUUGAGUUUUAGGAAUUUGAAACCAAUAGGGUUUUGAGCAUAAAAAGGGUUUAUUGCAUUAUUAAGCGACCCCAUAUUUUUGGUGUUUAAAUUUGGGUACAAAAGCUAUAUGGUUUUAUUAUUUAUAAAGCCCUAAAGGCAAUCUUAUAAGCAAAACUAUUUUUAAAUAUUUUGUUUUGAGGGGAAAUCAGUACGAAAAGUUGAAUCAUAUUAUAAUAUGAUUUUACAAAUUUUCUGAGAUUUAUUUGAAUUGAUUUGGAGUUCAAAAUCAAAAGCUAUAAGGGAAAAACAGAAAAAAGAAAAGGGGAAAAGAAAAAGGAAAAAAAAAGAGAAUCGGACCAACCCAACUGGGCUGGCCCACUUACCUCGCGUGGGCCCGAGCCGCUGACAGGCGGGCCCCGCCUGUCGGACUCGUCUUCUCCGGAAGGCAAGCCCGCGGAAUCCCCACGAUGACUCAGAGUUGAUCUAAAAAGGUGAAUAGAUAUAGUCUUGCCCCACAAGUUAGUGUUCCUUUCCCCACCUACAUCUACCGAUUUCUUCUACAAGCUUGUAUGACCUUUUUUUUCUAGAUACCGAUGCUGGUUCCAGUGGGUAGGCCAGGUGGCCCUUGGCCUACCUAGAAUUUUAUUUAUUUAUUUUGCUGACCAAGUCUCCGUUCACAUGCGCAAGUACAUAGUUCAAAUUAUUAGAGAAUACAAGUCUUCUUAUGUGGGCCUAAGUCACCUCGGCCGGCAUGUAUCCUAAAACUCCUCACACA